This is a small nucleolar RNA of Gastrolobium bilobum, 106 nucleotides long. NCBI's taxonomy places the organism in Eukaryota, Viridiplantae, Streptophyta, Magnoliopsida, Fabales, Fabaceae. The record is from RefSeq and is a predicted model, not a curated record.
ACCCCAUAGUUUGGACAUUCUCUUAUGAUGUCCUUGUAUCUCUCCCAUGCUUCAUAGAGAUUUUCUCCAUAAACAUUCUGAAGUUAGAGAUUUCAGCUCUAACAUU